Molecule: transfer RNA, 73 nt
Filed under: Nodosilinea sp. LEGE 07088
Lineage: Bacteria; Bacillati; Cyanobacteriota; Cyanophyceae; Nodosilineales; Nodosilineaceae
Rfam family: tRNA
About the family: Transfer RNA (tRNA) molecules are approximately 80 nucleotides in length.
Source: Rfam by way of RNAcentral
GAGGAUGUAGCUCAGUUGGAAAGAGCGCCCGUUUCCGAGGCAGGAGCCACAGGUUCAAAUCCUGUCAUCUUCG